GGUUAAGCGACUAAGCGUACACGGUGGAUGCCCUGGCAGUCAGAGGCGAUGAAGGACGUGCUAAUCUGCGAUAAGCGUCGGUAAGGUGAUAUGAACCGUUAUAACCGGCGAUUUCCGAAUGGGGAAACCCAGUGUGAUUCGUCACACUAUCAUUAACUGAAUCCAUAGGUUAAUGAGGCGAACCGGGGGAACUGAAACAUCUAAGUACCCCGAGGAAAAGAAAUCAACCGAGAUUCCCCCAGUAGCGGCGAGCGAACGGGGAGGAGCCCAGAGCCUGAAUCAGUGUGUGUGUUAGUGGAAGCGUCUGGAAAGGCGCGCGAUACAGGGUGACAGCCCCGUACACAAAAAUGCACAUGCUGUGAGCUCGAUGAGUAGGGCGGGACACGUGGUAUCCUGUCUGAAUAUGGGGGGACCAUCCUCCAAGGCUAAAUACUCCUGACUGACCGAUAGUGAACCAGUACCGUGAGGGAAAGGCGAAAAGAACCCCGGCGAGGGGAGUGAAAAAGAACCUGAAACCGUGUACGUACAAGCAGUGGGAGCACGCUUAGGCGUGUGACUGCGUACCUUUUGUAUAAUGGGUCAGCGACUUAUAUUCUGUAGCAAGGUUAACCGAAUAGGGGAGCCGAAGGGAAACCGAGUCUUAACUGGGCGUUAAGUUGCAGGGUAUAGACCCGAAACCCGGUGAUCUAGCCAUGGGCAGGUUGAAGGUUGGGUAACACUAACUGGAGGACCGAACCGACUAAUGUUGAAAAAUUAGCGGAUGACUUGUGGCUGGGGGUGAAAGGCCAAUCAAACCGGGAGAUAGCUGGUUCUCCCCGAAAGCUAUUUAGGUAGCGCCUCGUGAAUUCAUCUCCGGGGGUAGAGCACUGUUUCGGCAAGGGGGUCAUCCCGACUUACCAACCCGAUGCAAACUGCGAAUACCGGAGAAUGUUAUCACGGGAGACACACGGCGGGUGCUAACGUCCGUCGUGAAGAGGGAAACAACCCAGACCGCCAGCUAAGGUCCCAAAGUCAUGGUUAAGUGGGAAACGAUGUGGGAAGGCCCAGACAGCCAGGAUGUUGGCUUAGAAGCAGCCAUCAUUUAAAGAAAGCGUAAUAGCUCACUGGUCGAGUCGGCCUGCGCGGAAGAUGUAACGGGGCUAAACCAUGCACCGAAGCUGCGGCAGCGACACUAUGUGUUGUUGGGUAGGGGAGCGUUCUGUAAGCCUGUGAAGGUGUACUGUGAGGUAUGCUGGAGGUAUCAGAAGUGCGAAUGCUGACAUAAGUAACGAUAAAGCGGGUGAAAAGCCCGCUCGCCGGAAGACCAAGGGUUCCUGUCCAACGUUAAUCGGGGCAGGGUGAGUCGACCCCUAAGGCGAGGCCGAAAGGCGUAGUCGAUGGGAAACAGGUUAAUAUUCCUGUACUUGGUGUUACUGCGAAGGGGGGACGGAGAAGGCUAUGUUGGCCGGGCGACGGUUGUCCCGGUUUAAGCGUGUAGGCUGGUUUUCCAGGCAAAUCCGGAAAAUCAAGGCUGAGGCGUGAUGACGAGGCACUACGGUGCUGAAGCAACAAAUGCCCUGCUUCCAGGAAAAGCCUCUAAGCAUCAGGUAACAUCAAAUCGUACCCCAAACCGACACAGGUGGUCAGGUAGAGAAUACCAAGGCGCUUGAGAGAACUCGGGUGAAGGAACUAGGCAAAAUGGUGCCGUAACUUCGGGAGAAGGCACGCUGAUAUGUAGGUGAAGUCCCUCGCGGAUGGAGCUGAAAUCAGUCGAAGAUACCAGCUGGCUGCAACUGUUUAUUAAAAACACAGCACUGUGCAAACACGAAAGUGGACGUAUACGGUGUGACGCCUGCCCGGUGCCGGAAGGUUAAUUGAUGGGGUUAGCGCAAGCGAAGCUCUUGAUCGAAGCCCCGGUAAACGGCGGCCGUAACUAUAACGGUCCUAAGGUAGCGAAAUUCCUUGUCGGGUAAGUUCCGACCUGCACGAAUGGCGUAAUGAUGGCCAGGCUGUCUCCACCCGAGACUCAGUGAAAUUGAACUCGCUGUGAAGAUGCAGUGUACCCGCGGCAAGACGGAAAGACCCCGUGAACCUUUACUAUAGCUUGACACUGAACAUUGAGCCUUGAUGUGUAGGAUAGGUGGGAGGCUUUGAAGUGUGGACGCCAGUCUGCAUGGAGCCGACCUUGAAAUACCACCCUUUAAUGUUUGAUGUUCUAACGUUGACCCGUGAUCCGGGUUGCGGACAGUGUCUGGUGGGUAGUUUGACUGGGGCGGUCUCCUCCUAAAGAGUAACGGAGGAGCACGAAGGUUGGCUAAUCCUGGUCGGACAUCAGGAGGUUAGUGCAAUGGCAUAAGCCAGCUUGACUGCGAGCGUGACGGCGCGAGCAGGUGCGAAAGCAGGUCAUAGUGAUCCGGUGGUUCUGAAUGGAAGGGCCAUCGCUCAACGGAUAAAAGGUACUCCGGGGAUAACAGGCUGAUACCGCCCAAGAGUUCAUAUCGACGGCGGUGUUUGGCACCUCGAUGUCGGCUCAUCACAUCCUGGGGCUGAAGUAGGUCCCAAGGGUAUGGCUGUUCGCCAUUUAAAGUGGUACGCGAGCUGGGUUUAGAACGUCGUGAGACAGUUCGGUCCCUAUCUGCCGUGGGCGCUGGAGAACUGAGGGAGGCUGCUCCUAGUACGAGAGGACCGGAGUGGACGCAUCACUGGUGUUCGGGUUGUCAUGCCAAUGGCACUGCCCGGUAGCUAAAUGCGGAAGAGAUAAGUGCUGAAAGCAUCUAAGCACGAAACUUGCCCCGAGAUGAGUUCUCCCUGACUCCUUGAGAGUCCUGAAGGAACGUUGAAGACGACGACGUUGAUAGGCCGGGUGUGUAAGCGCAGCGAUGCGUUGAGCUAACCGGUACUAAUGAACCGUGAGGCUUAACCUU
This 2903-nucleotide ribosomal RNA is filed under the name Escherichia coli. RNAcentral describes it as "23S ribosomal RNA". It matches the Rfam family "Bacterial large subunit ribosomal RNA". Lineage: Bacteria; Pseudomonadati; Pseudomonadota; Gammaproteobacteria; Enterobacterales; Enterobacteriaceae. The record is from RNAcentral.